This 164-nucleotide ribosomal RNA is filed under the name Ixodes scapularis (black-legged tick). RNAcentral describes it as "partial 16S ribosomal RNA". Lineage: Eukaryota; Metazoa; Arthropoda; Arachnida; Ixodida; Ixodidae. The record is from RNAcentral.
CCCUGAUGCACAAGGUACCUUAAUGAACUUUUACAAUUUUAUUUUUUAAAAUUUUUUCAAAAAACCUUCACAGUUAAAAAUUAAAUUUUUCUUUAUAUAAUACAAAAAUUUAUAAUAAAAUUUUUAAAAAAUUCCUUUCUAAAAAUUAAAUAAUUUUUAAAAAU